Ornithorhynchus anatinus (platypus) is the source of this 138-nucleotide small nucleolar RNA. The record is from RefSeq and is a predicted model, not a curated record. NCBI's taxonomy places the organism in Eukaryota, Metazoa, Chordata, Mammalia, Monotremata, Ornithorhynchidae.
UCCCUCUCGGAGUCACACCUGGAGAGUUUCCAGGACUCUACCAGUCUCGACUAUGGGAGGGAGAGUCAAGCCGAGGUAUAUCUGUUCCAUUCCUAGCUUGGCUAGUGGCUAGCGCGUGGAAGGCCAUCUGCUACAAGU